RNAcentral lists this transfer RNA (72 nucleotides) under marine sediment metagenome. It matches the Rfam family "tRNA". Rfam says of the family: Transfer RNA (tRNA) molecules are approximately 80 nucleotides in length. Their secondary structure includes four short double-helical elements and three loops (D, anti-codon, and T loops). The record is from RNAcentral.
UCCGGAGUGGCUCAACGGUAGAGCGGGUGGCUGUUAACCACUAGGUUGGGGGUUCAAAUCCCUCCUCCGGAG